ACGGAGGAUGCGAGCGUUAUCCGGAUUUAUUGGGUUUAAAGGGUGCGUAGGUGGACUGUUUAGUCAGUGGUGAAAUGCUGAUGCUCAACGUUAGCAUUGCCGUUGAAACUGACAGUCUUGAGAGUGAUUGAGGCAGGCGGAAUGUGUGGUGUGGCGGUAAAAUACAUAGAUCUCACGAAGAACCCAAAUGGGGAAGGCACCUUACAAAGCCACAACUGACACUGAAGCACGAAAGCGUGGGGAUCAAACAG
RNAcentral lists this ribosomal RNA (251 nucleotides) under uncultured prokaryote. Its description in RNAcentral is "partial 16S rRNA". It matches the Rfam family "Bacterial small subunit ribosomal RNA", at positions 525 to 775 of the family's 1533-position model. The record is from RNAcentral.